UUCGCCCGCUGGGGGGUUUAUGACUUUUCUUUUUCUAGAAGGAAAUGCAGCAUUGCCCCGUCACGCACACUGCGUUCGUGUGCGUUGCAUACCUGCAGCACUGGAACGCUGAACGCGAUCGUUUUCCUCACUUCGCGGUUUUCCUUCCCCAGAGGAUGCUAGAAGGAAGGACCCCUGCAGCUUGAGUCUUCUCCAUGGCUUUCCAUUGCUUCAUAGCAACUUCUCUUAUGUUUUUCCAAGCUUUUUUCUGAACAACUUUGGAAAUAAUAGUUGCUGGGCUCUGAAAUAAACCAGUAUGUGUCAUGAAAUUUCA
Cyanistes caeruleus (blue tit) is the source of this 313-nucleotide long non-coding RNA. RefSeq lists it as uncharacterized. NCBI's taxonomy places the organism in Eukaryota, Metazoa, Chordata, Aves, Passeriformes, Paridae. The record is from RefSeq and is a predicted model, not a curated record.